RNAcentral lists this long non-coding RNA (268 nucleotides) under Gossypium barbadense (sea-island cotton). Its description in RNAcentral is "long non-coding RNA (GBAR_LNC011056)". The record is from RNAcentral. Lineage: Eukaryota; Viridiplantae; Streptophyta; Magnoliopsida; Malvales; Malvaceae.
UGGAGAGACCGAUUUUGUGAGGGAUCAAGUUUUUAACUCGAUGUUACAAAUUUGGUAAGGUAUAUUUGUGAGAGAAUUUCGAUUAGCAUAGUUAAUUAAAAUUCAUGUUUAUUAUAGCAUUGGAAAGGUGGUAAUGUCUACUUUACCUCCGUUGAAGCUCCAAGUCUUGAAGAAGACCGAGAUAAACAGAAUUGAAGCUUGAAAUUCUUAGUUGAUCACUUGUUGUGGUAGAGUAAAAUUGUGUGGGAAGCGUUUCUGUAACACCCCC